GGGCCCGCACAAGCGGUGGAGUAUGUGGUUUAAUUCGAUGCAACGCGAAGAACCUUACCAGGGUUUGACAUCCUGCGAAUCUCUUGGAAACAGGAGAGUGCCUUCGGGAACGCAGUGACAGGUGGUGCAUGGCUGUCGUCAGCUCGUGUCGUGAGAUGUUGGGUUAAGUCCCGCAACGAGCGCAACCCACGUCUUUAGUUGCCAGCAUUUAGUUGGGCACUCUAGAGAGACUGCCAGUGAUAAGCUGGAGGAAGGUGGGGAUGACGUCAAGUCCUCAUGGCCCUUAUGUGUUGGGCUACACACGUGCUACAAUGGUAGUGACAAUGGGUUAAUCCCAAAAAGCUAUCUCAGUUCGGAUUGUCGUCUGCAACUCGACUGCAUGAAGCCGGAAUCGCUAGUAAUCGC
Molecule: ribosomal RNA, 405 nt
Filed under: uncultured bacterium
Lineage: Bacteria
Description: bacterial SSU rRNA
Rfam family: Bacterial small subunit ribosomal RNA
Source: RNAcentral